UCAAGUAUGUAAAAUGCACAAGUUUUGGUCACUUAGAGAUUGAAAACAGUCACUUUAAUGCAUUUAAGUAAAAUAAGAGGAAAACAAACAUUGAAG
Arachis ipaensis is the source of this 96-nucleotide non-coding RNA. NCBI's taxonomy places the organism in Eukaryota, Viridiplantae, Streptophyta, Magnoliopsida, Fabales, Fabaceae. The record is from RefSeq and is a predicted model, not a curated record.